UGCAUAAUAAUUAACAUUCAAGAGACGGACUCUGUCCCUGAAGUUUUUCUGUCUAGGACCAGGCAGUGAGCCGGUCGGAUGGGUGAGAAAACGCAAAUCUAUGUGAAUCCAGAGGCACCGGGUAAUGCUGUGCUGUUCUGUGCUGUGCCGUGCUGCUGUGCCGUGCUGCUGUGCCAUGCUGCUGUGCCGUGCUGUUCCACAGCCGGCCCUUUCUGGCUCCCAGGACUUCCAACUGGAGGAGAGAUCUCAAAUGCCGAGCUGCUGCUGAAUGCGGUGCUAGAAUGUCUGGAAUGAAACAAGAAGUCCCUCUUCUGUGAAAUAGAUCAACUUUCUACUUGGGUCAAGAUUUUAAUGUGUGUGGGUGCUCACGUGCGCAUGCGUGAAUUCAGGUGCCUGUGGAGGCCAGGAAGACGGAGCUGGGUAUCCUGGAGACGGUGUUGCAGAUGGUUGGAAGCCCAGCUCAGGUCUUCUGCAAGAACAAUACAUCCUCUUCACCACUGAAUCAUCUUCCCGG
Molecule: non-coding RNA, 514 nt
Organism: Myodes glareolus (Bank vole)
Lineage: Eukaryota; Metazoa; Chordata; Mammalia; Rodentia; Cricetidae
Source: RefSeq, a predicted model, not a curated record